AAGGCGGCGGGAGCAGGAGAGAGACGUGAGGGGAUAAUCGGGAUAUCGCGAUAGACAGCGGGAUAUCGGGAUAGAGACCGCGAUCCACACCGGGAUAUCACCACACAUACCGGGAUAGACACCGCGCGAGCGGGUGCUGAAGCUGAGCUGGGACUUUCCCUUUCCUUGGACACCUCUGGUGGCCCUCCAAGAUAUGUCCCCAUUGUCCCCAGGCGUCCCCAGGGUCUCCGGUGGCCCUCCAAGAUCCUGCUGGGCUUUGAGGACCUGCCAGGACCUGAGCCCAGAGCGCCUGGAGGCACCCAAAAGGCAGAGCUGCACCCCAAAACUGCACAGCUGCACCCCAAAAUGCAGACCUGGACCCCAAAAAUGCACAGCUGCACCCCAAAAUCGUAUAAACCCUGAACCCCCAAACCUGGAGAUACCUGAAGUACACCUGAACCCCAACCCCAGGGAGUUUGGGGGCCCCAGGGCUGGGACCCCCUGUUUUGGGGUUUUGGGGUGUCCCAGGGCUGUGACUCCCCUGUUUUCAUCCCCCCACGUGAAAGCCCCCCCACUUUGUCCCCAAUUGGAGGUCCCCAAAACCAGGGGGGGGCCCAAAACCCCCUUGGGGGGGAGCCAGCCCCCCCAAGGCUUCGUUGUAAAUGGGUUUGAGAAGAAUCAAUAAAGUUUGG
Molecule: long non-coding RNA, 671 nt
Filed under: Taeniopygia guttata (zebra finch)
Lineage: Eukaryota; Metazoa; Chordata; Aves; Passeriformes; Estrildidae
Description: lncRNA (ENSTGUG00000022988.1)
Source: RNAcentral